RNAcentral lists this long non-coding RNA (592 nucleotides) under Homo sapiens (human). RNAcentral describes it as "small nucleolar RNA host gene 28". The record is from RNAcentral. Lineage: Eukaryota; Metazoa; Chordata; Mammalia; Primates; Hominidae.
AGAGAGGACGCCGUGGCGCCCGGGUGCAAGGCCAGCGGGCGCGGCAGCCGCGUCACCCACCUCCUGGGGUACCCGACGCAGAACGUCAGCCGCUCCCUGCGCCGCAAGUACGCGCCUCCCCCCUGCGGCGGCCCCGAGGACGUGGCCCUGGCGCCCUGCACCGCCGCCGCCGCCUGCGAAGCGGGCCCCUCCCCGGUCUACGUCAAGGUCAAGAGCGCGGAGCCGGCUGACUGCGCCGAGGGGCCGGUGCAGUGCAAGAACGGCCUCUUGCUCCAGCCCACACUGUGAAGAGCCUUGUGCCCACAGCUGUGCACAUCCUGGGCUUCCUCCACACCUUGUCCAUAAACUGCCCCUCAGCUACCUUCAGACCCAGGAUACAGAGGCCCUUCCUUCAGGCUGCAUGCAGAACAGAUGCAGGUAGCCAUGAAGCCAAAUCUGGAAGGAGAUGAUGCUUCCUCUGAAGAUCAGAGAACAGAUGCAAAAACUAUUGCUCAAGGAAAAUAAAGUGAAAACGAGGAAAAGCAAAAGAAGAUCUGGAGAGGGCUCUCACCUGACCACAAGCAUCCUGGAGCAAUGAGUUUCAGGCAGGAAG